AUGUGAUCGUCUCUCGCAUAUCAAUAAGCGGAGGAAAAGAAACUAACAAGGAUUCCCCUAGUAACGGCGAGUGAAGCGGGAAGAGCUCAAAUUUGAAAUCUUAAAGGGUUUCCCUUUACGAAUUGUAGUUUAAAGAAGUGUUUUCCUGUUGAGGUUUUGGUAAAAGUUCUUUGGAAUAGGACAUCAUAGAGGGUGAGAAUACCGUAUUUGACCUUUACUUUCAACUUUGUGAUACACUUUCAAAGAGUCGGAUUGUUUGGGAAUGCAGUCCAAAAUGGGUGGUAAAUUUCAUCUAAAGCUAAAUAUUGGCGAGAGACCGAUAGCGAACAAGUACCGUGAGGGAAAGAUGAAAAGAACUUCGAAAAGAGAGUUAAACAGUACGUGAAAUUGUCAAAAGGGAAGCGUUUGACACCAGUGUUGUUUUUCUGAAAAUCAAUUAAAGAACUGUUUAUGCUAAGCUGUUUAGACUUUAUCAGCUAUCUGUUUAGUUUUGAGCUUUUCUUUAAUGCACUUUUCAGUUAACAAGUCAACAUCAAUUUCUUUUGCUGUAAAAAAGCUUGAGGAAGGUGGCUUGAGAUUCGUCUUAAGUGUUUAUAGCCUCUUGCCUAUGCAGUCGGAGAGAUUGAGGUCUGCAGCGUAGAUCCUUCGGGGCUAAAUGCAUUUGUGCUAAGUUAUAGCAUUUUAUAGACAACUUGUUGACUAUGAUUUGGCUUGUAGCUUACUCGCUUAUGUUAUUUUACCUACGCUUAGGAUGUUGAGCGCAUGUCUCUCUCU
This 774-nucleotide ribosomal RNA is filed under the name uncultured Neocallimastigales. Its description in RNAcentral is "partial large subunit ribosomal RNA". It matches the Rfam family "Eukaryotic large subunit ribosomal RNA", at positions 24 to 616 of the family's 3401-position model. Lineage: Eukaryota; Fungi; Neocallimastigomycota; Neocallimastigomycetes; Neocallimastigales. The record is from RNAcentral.